This 253-nucleotide ribosomal RNA is filed under the name uncultured bacterium. Its description in RNAcentral is "partial 16S ribosomal RNA". It matches the Rfam family "Bacterial small subunit ribosomal RNA", at positions 524 to 776 of the family's 1533-position model. The record is from RNAcentral.
UACGUAGGGGGCAAGCGUUAUCCGGAUUUACUGGGUGUAAAGGGAGCGUAGACGGUAUGGCAAGUCUGAUGUGAAAACCCGGGGCUCAACCCCGGGACUGCAUUGGAAACUGCCGGACUAGAGUGUCGGAGAGGCAAGUGGAAUUCCUAGUGUAGCGGUGAAAUGCGUAGAUAUUAGGAGGAACACCAGUGGCGAAGGCGGCUUGCUGGACGAUGACUGACGUUGAGGCUCGAAAGCGUGGGGAGCAAGCAGG